UACGGGAGGCAGCAGUGGGGAAUAUUGCACAAUGGGCGCAAGCCUGAUGCAGCCAUGCCGCGUGUAUGAAGAAGGCCUUCGGGUUGUAAAGUACUUUCAGUCGUGAGGAAGGUGUUAAGGUUAAUAACCUUAGCAAUUGACGUUAGCGGCAGAAGAAGCACCGGCUAACUCCGUGCCAGCAGCCGCGGUAAUACGGAGGGUGCGAGCGUUAAUCGGAAUUACUGGGCGUAAAGGGCACGCAGGCGGUUAAUUAAGUUGGAUGUGAAAUCCCCGGGCUUAACCUGGGAAUGGCAUUCAAGACUGGUUAGCUAGAGUCUUGUAGAGGGGGUAGAAUUCCAUGUGUAGCGGUGAAAUGCGUAGAGAUGUGGAGGAAUACCGGUGGCGAAGGCGGCCCCUGGACAAAGACUGACGCUCAUGUGCGAAAGCGUGGGGAGCAAAC
This 439-nucleotide ribosomal RNA is filed under the name uncultured bacterium. RNAcentral describes it as "bacterial SSU rRNA". It matches the Rfam family "Bacterial small subunit ribosomal RNA", at positions 340 to 773 of the family's 1533-position model. The record is from RNAcentral.